GGUUAAGCGACUAAGCGUACACGGUGGAUGCCCUGGCAGUCAGAGGCGAUGAAGGACGUGCUAAUCUGCGAAAAGCGCCGGCGAGGUGAUAUGAACCUUUGACCCGGCGAUGUCCGAAUGGGGAAACCCAGUGCAAUCCGUUGCACUAUCGUUAACUGAAUACAUAGGUUAACGAGGCGAACCGGGGGAACUGAAACAUCUAAGUACCCCGAGGAAAAGAAAUCAACCGAGAUUCCCCCAGUAGCGGCGAGCGAACGGGGAGCAGCCCGGAGUCUGAAUCAGCUUGUGUGUUAGUGGAACGGUCUGGAAAGUCCGACGGUACAGGGUGAUAGUCCCGUACACGAAAGCACACUUGCUGUGAACUCGAAGAGUAGGGCGGGACACGUGGUAUCCUGUCUGAAUAUGGGGGGACCAUCCUCCAAGGCUAAAUACUCCUGACUGACCGAUAGUGAACCAGUACCGUGAGGGAAAGGCGAAAAGAACCCCGGCGAGGGGAGUGAAAAAGAACCUGAAACCGUGUACGUACAAGCAGUGGGAGCCUCUUUAUGGGGUGACUGCGUACCUUUUGUAUAAUGGGUCAGCGACUUAUAUUCUGUAGCAAGGUUAACCGUAUAGGGGAGCCGAAGGGAAACCGAGUCUUAACUGGGCGUUAAGUUGCAGGGUAUAGACCCGAAACCCGGUGAUCUAGCCAUGGGCAGGUUGAAGGUUGGGUAACACUAACUGGAGGACCGAACCGACUAAUGUUGAAAAAUUAGCGGAUGACCUGUGGCUGGGGGUGAAAGGCCAAUCAAACCGGGAGAUAGCUGGUUCUCCCCGAAAGCUAUUUAGGUAGCGCCUCGUGAACUCAUCUUCGGGGGUAGAGCACUGUUUCGGCUAGGGGGCCAUCCCGGCUUACCAACCCGAUGCAAACUACGAAUACCGAAGAAUGUUAUCACGGGAGACACACGGCGGGUGCUAACGUCCGUCGUGAAGAGGGAAACAACCCAGACCGCCAGCUAAGGUCCCAAAGUCAUGGUUAAGUGGGAAACGAUGUGGGAAGGCACAGACAGCCAGGAUGUUGGCUUAGAAGCAGCCAUCAUUUAAAGAAAGCGUAAUAGCUCACUGGUCGAGUCGGCCUGCGCGGAAGAUGUAACGGGGCUAAACCAUGCACCGAAGCUGCGGCAGCGACACUAUGUGUUGUUGGGUAGGGGAGCGUUCUGUAAGCCGUUGAAGGUGUGCUGUGAGGCAUGCUGGAGGUAUCAGAAGUGCGAAUGCUGACAUAAGUAACGAUAAAGCGGGUGAAAAGCCCGCUCGCCGGAAGACCAAGGGUUCCUGUCCAACGUUAAUCGGGGCAGGGUGAGUCGACCCCUAAGGCGAGGCCGAAAGGCGUAGUCGAUGGGAAACAGGUUAAUAUUCCUGUACUUGGUGUUACUGCGAAGGGGGACGGAGAAGGCUAUGUCAGCCGGGCGACGGUUGUCCCGGUUUAAGCAUGUAGGCGGAGGUUCCAGGUAAAUCCGGUACCUUAUUAACGCUGAGGUGUGAUGACGAGGCACUACGGUGCUGAAGUGAUAAAUGCCCUGCUUCCAGGAAAAGCCUCUAAGCAUCAGGUAACACGAAAUCGUACCCCAAACCGACACAGGUGGUCAGGUAGAGAAUACCAAGGCGCUUGAGAGAACUCGGGUGAAGGAACUAGGCAAAAUGGUGCCGUAACUUCGGGAGAAGGCACGCUGAUGUGUAGGUGAAGCCCCUGCGGGCGGAGCUGAAAUCAGUCGAAGAUACCAGCUGGCUGCAACUGUUUAUUAAAAACACAGCACUGUGCAAACACGAAAGUGGACGUAUACGGUGUGACGCCUGCCCGGUGCCGGAAGGUUAAUUGAUGGGGUUAGCGGCAACGCGAAGCUCUUGAUCGAAGCCCCGGUAAACGGCGGCCGUAACUAUAACGGUCCUAAGGUAGCGAAAUUCCUUGUCGGGUAAGUUCCGACCUGCACGAAUGGCGUAAUGAUGGCCAGGCUGUCUCCACCCGAGACUCAGUGAAAUUGAACUCGCUGUGAAGAUGCAGUGUACCCGCGGCAAGACGGAAAGACCCCGUGAACCUUUACUAUAGCUUGACACUGAACACUGGUCCUUGAUGUGUAGGAUAGGUGGGAGGCUUUGAAGCGUGGACGCCAGUCUGCGUGGAGCCAACCUUGAAAUACCACCCUUUAAUGGCUGGUGUUCUAACGUAGACCCGUAAUCCGGGUUGCGGACAGUGUCUGGUGGGUAGUUUGACUGGGGCGGUCUCCUCCCAAAGAGUAACGGAGGAGCACGAAGGUUGGCUAAUCCUGGUCGGACAUCAGGAGGUUAGUGCAAUGGCAUAAGCCAGCUUGACUGCGAGCGUGACGGCGCGAGCAGGUGCGAAAGCAGGUCAUAGUGAUCCGGUGGUUCUGAAUGGAAGGGCCAUCGCUCAACGGAUAAAAGGUACUCCGGGGAUAACAGGCUGAUACCGCCCAAGAGUUCAUAUCGACGGCGGUGUUUGGCACCUCGAUGUCGGCUCAUCACAUCCUGGGGCUGAAGUAGGUCCCAAGGGUAUGGCUGUUCGCCAUUUAAAGUGGUACGCGAGCUGGGUUUAGAACGUCGUGAGACAGUUCGGUCCCUAUCUGCCGUGGGCGCUGGAGAAUUGAGGGGGCUGCUCCUAGUACGAGAGGACCGGAGUGGACGCAUCACUGGUGUUCGGGUUGUCAUGCCAAUGGCACUGCCCGGUAGCUAAAUGCGGAAGAGAUAAGUGCUGAAAGCAUCUAAGCACGAAACUUGCCCCGAGAUGAGUUCUCCCUGAGACUUUAAGUCUCCUGAAGGAACGUUGAAGACGACGACGUUGAUAGGUCGGGUGUGUAAGCGCAGCGAUGCGUUGAGCUAACCGAUACUAAUGAACCGUGAGGCUUAACCUU
This 2903-nucleotide ribosomal RNA is filed under the name Enterobacter hormaechei. Its description in RNAcentral is "23S ribosomal RNA". It matches the Rfam family "Bacterial large subunit ribosomal RNA". The record is from RNAcentral. Lineage: Bacteria; Pseudomonadati; Pseudomonadota; Gammaproteobacteria; Enterobacterales; Enterobacteriaceae.